GACGAACGCUGGCGGCGUGCUUAACACAUGCAAGUCGAACGGAAAGGCCCUGCUUUUGUGGGGUGCUCGAGUGGCGAACGGGUGAGUAACACGUGAGUAACCUGCCCUUGACUUUGGGAUAACGUCAGGAAACUGGGGCUAAUACCGGAUAGGAGCUCCUGCUGCAUGGUGGGGGUUGGAAAGUUUCGGCGGUUGGGGAUGGACUCGCGGCUUAUCAGCUUGUUGGUGGGGUAGUGGCUUACCAAGGCUUUGACGGGUAGCCGGCCUGGGAGGGUGACCGGCCUCAUUGGGACUGAGAUACGGCCCAGACUCCUACGGGAGGCAGCAGUGGGGAAUAUUGCACAAUGGGCGGAAGCCUGAUGCAGCAACGCCGCGUGCGGGAUGACGGCCUUCGGGUUGUAAACCGCUUUCGCCUGUGACGAAGCGUGAGUGACGGUAAUGGGUAAAGAAGCACCGGCUAACUACGUG
This 468-nucleotide ribosomal RNA is filed under the name uncultured bacterium. RNAcentral describes it as "partial 16S ribosomal RNA". It matches the Rfam family "Bacterial small subunit ribosomal RNA", at positions 28 to 507 of the family's 1533-position model. The record is from RNAcentral.